Molecule: unclassified non-coding RNA, 547 nt
Filed under: Allantophomopsiella pseudotsugae
Lineage: Eukaryota; Fungi; Ascomycota; Leotiomycetes; Phacidiales; Phacidiaceae
Description: sequence contains 18S rRNA gene, ITS1, 5.8S rRNA gene, ITS2, 28S rRNA gene
Rfam family: 5.8S ribosomal RNA (bases 221-374)
Source: RNAcentral
UCGUAACAAGGUCUCCGUUGGUGAACCAGCGGAGGGAUCAUUGCUGGAACGCGCCCCAGGCGCACCCAGAAACCCUUUGUGAACUUAUACCUUACUGUUGCCUCGGCGCUAGCUGGUCCUUCGGGGCCCCUCACCCCCGGGUGUUGAGACAGCCCGCCGGCGGCCAACCCAACUCUUGUUUUUACACUGAAACUCUGAGAAUAAAACAUAAAUGAAUCAAAACUUUCAACAACGGAUCUCUUGGUUCUGGCAUCGAUGAAGAACGCAGCGAAAUGCGAUAAGUAAUGUGAAUUGCAGAAUUCAGUGAAUCAUCGAAUCUUUGAACGCACAUUGCGCCCUCUGGUAUUCCGGAGGGCAUGCCUGUUCGAGCGUCAUUUCAACCCUCAAGCCUGGCUUGGUGAUGGGGCACUGCUUCUUACCCAAGGAGCAGGCCCUGAAAUUCAGUGGCGAGCUCGCCAGGACCCCGAGCGCAGUAGUUAAACCCUCGCUCUGGAAGGCCCUGGCGGUGCCCUGCCGUUAAACCCCCAACUUCUGAAAAUUGACCUCG